UACGGAGGGUGCAAGCGUUAUCCGGAUUCACUGGGUUUAAAGGGCGCGCAGGCGGUUUUGUACGUCAGUGGUGAAAGGCUUAAGCUUAACUUGGGAACUGCCAUUGAUACUAUAAGUCUUGAAUGUUGUUGAGGUUUGCGGAAUGGGUCAUGUAGCGGUGAAAUGCAUAGAUAUGACCCGGAACACCUAUUGCGAAGGCAGCAGGCUAAACAAAUAUUGACGCUGAGGCUCGAAAGCGUGGGGAUCAAACAGG
This 253-nucleotide ribosomal RNA is filed under the name uncultured bacterium. RNAcentral's name for it is "partial 16S ribosomal RNA". It matches the Rfam family "Bacterial small subunit ribosomal RNA", at positions 524 to 776 of the family's 1533-position model. The record is from RNAcentral.